GACUCUAUUCAACGGCCGCGGUAUCCUAACCGUGCGAAGGUAGCGUAAUCACUUGUUCUUUAAAUGUGGACUAGUAUGAAUGGCAUCACGAAGGUUAUACUGUCUCCUUUUUCUAAUCAGUGAAACUAAUCUCCCCGUGAAGAAGCGAGGAUAAAACUAUAAGACGAGAAGACCCUAUGGAGCUUUAAACAUUUAUAACACUUGCUAAAUAAAAUACAAAUUUCAGAAUUAUUUAAUCUUUAAGCAACUUGUCUAUAAGUUUUUGGUUGGGGUGACCGCGGAGCAUAAUACAACCUCCAUGUUGAAAGAUCUAUUUCUAAGCUAAGAGCUACACCUCUAAGCAUCAACAUAUUGACAUCCAUUGACCCAAUAUAUUUGAACAACGAACCAAGUUACCCUAGGGAUAACAGCGCAAUCCACUUCAAGAGCUCCUAUCGACAAGUGGGUUUACGACCUCGAUGUUGGAUCAGGGUUUCCCAGUGGUGCAGCCGCUACUAAAGGUUCGUUUGUUCAACGAUUAAAACCCUACGUG
Molecule: ribosomal RNA, 532 nt
Rfam family: Bacterial large subunit ribosomal RNA